Molecule: ribosomal RNA, 468 nt
Filed under: uncultured bacterium
Lineage: Bacteria
Description: partial 16S ribosomal RNA
Rfam family: Bacterial small subunit ribosomal RNA
Source: RNAcentral
GACGAACGCUGGCGGCGUGCUUAACACAUGCAAGUCGAACGGAAAGGCCCUGCUUUUGUGGGGUGCUCGAUUGGCGAACGGGUGAGUAACACGUGAGUAACCUGCCCUUGACUUUGGGAUAACUUCAGGAAACUGGGGCUAAUACCGGAUAGGAGCUCCUGCUGCAUGGUGGGGGUUGGUAAGUUUCGGCUGUUGGGGAUGGACUCGCUGCUUAUCAGCUUGUUGGUGGGGUAGUGGCUUACCAAGGCUUUGACGGGUAGCCGGCCUGAGAGGGUGACCGGCGACAUUGGGACUGAGAUACGGACCAGACUCGUACGGGAGGCAGCAGGGGGGAAUAGUGCAAAAUGGGCGGAAGCAUGAUGCAGAAACGCCGCGUGCGGGAUGACGGCCUUCGGGUUGUAAAAAGAUUUCGACUGUGACGAAGAGUGAGUGACGGUAAUGGGUAAAGAAGCACCGGCUAACUACGUG